Molecule: long non-coding RNA, 1071 nt
Organism: Syzygium oleosum
Lineage: Eukaryota; Viridiplantae; Streptophyta; Magnoliopsida; Myrtales; Myrtaceae
Exons: 2
Source: RefSeq, a predicted model, not a curated record
CAUAACCGCCAUCGCUCUCACUUCUCCGGCACGACCUCGCGUUAGGUUUCGACAUCGUAACUACCACAUGAAUAGACCGUCCAUUGUAUUUGGUGGUCAUUAGUACUUCUACUCACGGUUGCCCAUUGUUUUCCGGUGCUGUUAAAACUGGAUGGAGGUACCCUUUCUUGACCUCUUGAUUUCCCUUUCCACCCUCAAGCCAUCACAUCAUGAGAGAGAGAAUUCAAGAAGGGUUUGUUGAUUCAGAGGGCGAUGCAUCACGCAGUAAUUUGACUGGCGAGGGGUCCAGAGAGGAGUCCAUGGCGAUCCUGUGAUGGCAGAAUGUGCACAAACUAAGCACGUAAGUCCAAUCUUUGAAGAUUAGGUUGGGUUUGGUUUAGCAACAUCACAUGGUUCUCAAUCAAUUAUUUAUCGAGUUUAACCCCACCGGGCAAGCACAUGUCGCUCUCUCACUUGCUGGUCCAUGAUGCCUUCUAGUGCCUAGUGUAGUGUGCUGGCUGCUGCUUAAUUAAUCAUCCACAUCUUUGCUUUUGCCUUUCUUUCUCUCUACAUCCUUACCAUCCCAUUUACACAGAGAGAGCUCCAAUUCCACCACCUCUGGUUCGGCUUCAAUUAGCUCGGACUGUGAUAUCCGCGAGACUCGCACAGAUGCCGGGCUGGGGACCGCCGCCAGGAGGGCCUCCCGGGCCGCCGGGGCCGUGUGGUUGCUUGUGCUUUUGCUGCGAAGGAAUCUGCCGGGCGAUAUCUUCGUGUUUUUAUGUCCUCUGCUGCUGCUGUAUCUUCGAGAGCUGCUGCGGGCCGGUGUUCGGUGGCCGACCAGGGCCUCCGGGCCCUUUUGGUGGUCCGCCAGGUCCUCCAGGUGGUCCGCGCGGUCCGUUUGGCGGCCCUCACGGCGGGCCUCAUGGGCCAUUCGGCGGCCCCCCAGGCCCUCCCGGUGGACCUCCGCGCUUCUGAUGAGCCUGCAGUAUAAAUCUUGUACUUGACAACCGAUGUACAGACAUGUACUUCUAUAUGUUUGAUGUAGAAUUCUUGUCGCUGUGAAAUUCCCAAUUGCCAUUGCACUUCCUUCCA